GAUGAAGAACGCAGCGAAAUGCGAUAAGUAGUGUGAAUUGCAGAAUUCAGUGAAUCAUCGAAUCUUUGAACGCACAUUGCGCCCCUUGGUAUUCCAUGGGGCAUGCCUGUUCGAGCGUCAUUUGUACCCUCAAGCUUUGCUUGGUGUUGGGUGUUUGUCCCGCGCUCUUUUGCGCAAGACUCGCCUUAAAUCAAUUGGCAGCCGGCAUGUUAGCCUGGAGCGCAGCACAUUUUGCGCCCCUUGCUUGCUUGUGUUGGCCCCCAUCAAGUCCAUCUAUUUGCUCUUGACCUCGGAUCAGGUAGGGAUACCCGCUGAACUUAAGCAUAUCAAUAAGCGGAGGA
RNAcentral lists this unclassified non-coding RNA (341 nucleotides) under soil metagenome. Its description in RNAcentral is "partial contains 5.8S ribosomal RNA, internal transcribed spacer 2, and large subunit ribosomal RNA". The stretch from base 1 to 120 matches the Rfam family "5.8S ribosomal RNA", at positions 35 to 154 of the family's 154-position model. The record is from RNAcentral.